GCAAAAGUUAAUCCCAAUUAUACUUGCAGGUUUUCGGUAAAGAAUUCAGUGAUACGGUGGAACCACAUACUACAAGAAAAGUAGAAACAUAAAUCAUAUGACUGAACCGAUCUAAAGGUUCGGGGGAAGACAAAUUACCCUUAAGAAUCCGGUGUAUACUUACAUCAGAUAUCUCAACCUAGUUCUCCUCUUUCAUCUUUUCCAAAUCAAGUAUCUGCAGCCAGGAUUUGCCAUGCUUCUUACCUGUAUUCAGUGGAUGCUCUUGGUUUGCUCGCAGAAUUCAGGUACUGUGAAACGAACAAGACUCCCAUGAUAACUAUCAGAAAACCAACAAGGGUGCUAAAAAAGAGAGCCCCAGGCUGCCUUGUUUGUACAAGUCCAUAAACGCCACCAGACGUUACAACAAUAACAUCGGUGAGGCCAUCACCUGAGAAAUCCUCCAAAAUCAAGGCAUGAGUAGGAGAACCAGGCAAUUCAAAUGUAGUCAACACGCUACCCCAAGGAGACAUCACCACAGCCUCUUGAUCGCCA
This 531-nucleotide unclassified non-coding RNA is filed under the name Hevea brasiliensis (rubber tree). The record is from RNAcentral. Lineage: Eukaryota; Viridiplantae; Streptophyta; Magnoliopsida; Malpighiales; Euphorbiaceae.